Molecule: ribosomal RNA, 1233 nt
Filed under: metagenome
Description: bacterial LSU rRNA
Rfam family: Bacterial large subunit ribosomal RNA
Source: RNAcentral
UGAAUACGAUAUGCUACGGCAUUGAAGCAGUCUAUGUCAGACUUCCAAGAAAAGCUCGCAAUGUCAUAAACAAAAAGUGCCUGUACCAUAACCGACACAGGUGGGUAGGUAGAGUAUACUAAGGGGCGCGAGAUAACUCUCUCUAAGGAACUCGGCAAAAUGACUCCGUAACUUCGGGAGAAGGAGUGCCUUAUUUAUUAAGGUUGCAAUAACAAGAUCCAAGCAACUGUUUAUCAAAAACACAGGUCUCCGCUAAGUCGUAAGACGAUGUAUGGGGGCUGACGCCUGCCCAGUGCCAGUAGGUUAAAGAAGUUGGUUAGCCUUGCGAAGCUGAUGACUGAAGCCCUGGUGAACGGCGGCCGUAACUAUAACGGUCCUAAGGUAGCGAAAUUCCUUGUCGGGUAAGUUCCGACCCGCACGAAAGGCGUAAUGAUUUGGAUACUGUCUCGGAGAGGGGCUCGGUGAAAUAGACUUGUCUGUGAAGAUGCGGACUACCUGCACCUGGACAGAAAGACCCUAUGAAGCUUUACUGUAACUUGAGAUUGAAAUUGGACUUUAUUUGCGCAGUAUAGGUGGGAGACUUUGAGAAUAUUCUUGCGGGAAUAUUGGAGUCAUCAGUGAGAUACCACUCUUGUAAUGUUAGAUUUCUAACUUUGUAUCAUUAUCUGGUCAAAGGACAGUUUCAGGCGGGCAGUUUGACUGGGGCGGUCGCCUCCCAAACGGUAACGGAGGCGCACAAAGGUUUCCUCUGAACGUGUAGAAAUCGUAUCUAGAGUGUAAAGGCAUAAGGAAGCUUGACUGUGAGACCUACAAGUCGAGCAGGGACGAAAGUCGGUCUUAGUGAUCUGACGGUGCUGAGUGGAAAGGCCGUCACUCAACGGAUAAAAGUUACUCUAGGAUAACAGGCUGAUCUCCCCCAAGAGUUCACAUCGACGGGGAGGUCUGGCACCUCGAUGUCGGCUCAUCGCAUCCUGGGGCGGUAGUACGUCCCAAGGGUUGGGCUGUUCGCCCAUGAAAGCGGUACGCGAGCUGGGUUCAGAACGUCGUGAGACAGUUCGGUCCAUAUCCGGUGUAGGCGUUAGAAUAUUGAGAGGAGCCUUCUUUAGUACGAGAGGACCGAGAAGGACAUACCUCUGGUGUACCAGUUAUCGUGCCAACGGUAAACGCUGGGUAGCUAUGUAUGGAGUGGAUAACCGCUGAAAGCAUCUAAGUGGGAAGCCACCUCAAGAUAAG